GACGGAGGGUGCAAGCGUUGUUCGGAAUCACUGGGCGUAAAGCGUGCGCAGGCGGUUUUGCAAGUCUGAUGUGAAAUCCCCGGGCUUAACCUGGGAACUGCAUUGGAGACUGCAAGGCUAGAGUGCGUCAGAGGGGGGUAGAAUUCCACGUGUAGCAGUGAAAUGCGUAGAGAUGUGGAGGAAUACCGAUGGCGAAGGUAGCCCCCUGGGAUGACACUGACUUUCAUGCACGAAAGCGUGGGGAGCAAACAGG
This 253-nucleotide ribosomal RNA is filed under the name uncultured bacterium. Its description in RNAcentral is "partial 16S ribosomal RNA". It matches the Rfam family "Bacterial small subunit ribosomal RNA", at positions 524 to 776 of the family's 1533-position model. The record is from RNAcentral.